AACUGCUCCCUCCCCUCAGUCCCUCCCGCACACCUCUCCCCACGGCCACAUCGCCCGUCGUCGCCACCGCCUCCCCACGCGACGGAGGCAUCUCUCCCUUAUUUCCCAAGUGCGCGGCAGAUAAUGGCGGAAAUGACGACCACCAACUCUCUCUUCUCCCUCGCCCCGCUCCGCCUCACCCAUCGCCGUCUCAUCUCCCGCACCCCCGGCACAGCCUCACGCUUCCGGAAUCCGGACGGUCGCCUCGAAGGAGGCAGUCGCCUCAACCGUCCCCGGGCCCGGUGGGGGCGCGGGGAGCGGGCUACUCUCGGUGCUCGACCGGGCGCUCACCAACAAGGAGCGGCGCUGCCACGAGCGCGCCCAGGUGCGGCGCAAGGGCAUGGAGGCAGAGAGGUCCGCCGUAGAGGGGAUCCAGGUGCCGGAGAGGAGGAAGAAGGUGGUGAAUAGCACACAUCAGCAGUCGUCCUCCCACGACCCACGCCAGACACGCCCAUGUUCUAUUGCUGCUGAUCCCGCAUUACGGUGCACAUAAACUGUUUGAGGUUAAAAUGACAGUUGUUCUUGGGGAGCUUGGAGGAAGUGAUGAGUAUUCACUACUCGAAUCCUUGAAACAAGGAAAGGUCGAGAAACCUGUUGUUGCUCGGGUUAGUGGGACGUGUGCACGUCUGUUGAAAUUUGAGUCCAAUUUUGCCAUGCUGGUGCGAUGAGUGGUGUGAGUUGGAAUCUGCACAAGCUAAGAAUCAGGCACUAAGGGAUGUUGGGGCUGUUGUUCCUACUUCAUUUGAAGCUCUUAAAAGGAUUAAGGAUUUCAGAAGCUGGUUGAGGAAGGAAAUAUUCCGCCUGUCCCCGAG
Long non-coding RNA from Triticum aestivum (bread wheat), 851 nucleotides. RefSeq lists it as uncharacterized. The record is from RefSeq and is a predicted model, not a curated record. NCBI's taxonomy places the organism in Eukaryota, Viridiplantae, Streptophyta, Magnoliopsida, Poales, Poaceae. The transcript is spliced from 4 exons.